This 415-nucleotide ribosomal RNA is filed under the name Clostridioides difficile. Its description in RNAcentral is "partial 23S ribosomal RNA". It matches the Rfam family "Bacterial large subunit ribosomal RNA", at positions 1 to 417 of the family's 2925-position model. Lineage: Bacteria; Bacillati; Bacillota; Clostridia; Peptostreptococcales; Peptostreptococcaceae. The record is from RNAcentral.
UGGUCAAGUUAUUAAGGGUGCAGGGUGGAUGCCUUGGCACUAGGAGCCGAUGAAGGACGUGAUAAGCUGCGAUAAGCUUCGGGGAGUUGCACGUAAACUUUGAUCCGAAGAUUUCCGAAUGAGGAAACUCACUUAGAGUAAUGUCUAAGUAUCAUUAAGUGAAUACAUAGCUUAAUGAGGGGAACUCAGGGAACUGAAACAUCUAAGUACCUGAAGGAAGAGAAAGAAAUUCGAUUCCGUAAGUAGCGGCGAGCGAACGCGGAUUAGCCCAAACCAAUAAAGUUUUCUUUAUUGGGGUUGCGGACAUAUCAUAACGAAGAGGUAUCGUAAUUGAAGAGGUUUGGAAAGACCCACCACAGAAGGUAAUAGUCCUGUAUGUUAAACGAGAAGACUUCAGAUAUGAUCCAGAGUACCA